Molecule: ribosomal RNA, 417 nt
Filed under: uncultured bacterium
Lineage: Bacteria
Description: bacterial SSU rRNA
Rfam family: Bacterial small subunit ribosomal RNA
Source: RNAcentral
UAUUGGUCAAUGGGCGCGAGCCUGAACCAGCCAAGUCGCGUGAGGGAGGACGGCCCUCCGGGUUGUAAACCUCUUUUGCCGGGGAGCAACGGGCGUCCCGUGUGGCGCCACUGAGAGUACCCGGAGAAAAAGCAUCGGCUAACUCCGUGCCAGCAGCCGCGGUAAUACGGAGGAUGCGAGCGUUAUCCGGAUUUAUUGGGUUUAAAGGGUGCGUAGGCGGAUCGUUAAGUCAGUGGUCAAAUUGAGGGGCUCAACCCCUUCCCGCCAUUGAAACUGGCGAUCUUGAGUGGAAGAGAAGUAUGCGGAAUGCGUGGUGUAGCGGUGAAAUGCAUAGAUAUCACGCAGAACCCCGAUUGCGAAGGCAGCAUGCCGGCUUCCGACUGACGCUGAAGCACGAAAGCGUGGGGAUCGAACAGG